RNAcentral lists this small nuclear RNA (104 nucleotides) under Capra hircus (goat). Lineage: Eukaryota; Metazoa; Chordata; Mammalia; Artiodactyla; Bovidae. RNAcentral also lists the same sequence under 1 other name. The record is from RNAcentral.
GUACUCGCUUCGGCAGCAUAUAUACUAAAAUUGGAACAAUACAGAGAUUAGCAUGGCCCCUGCGCAAGGAUGACCCACAAAUUCAUGAAGCAUUCCAUAUUAAA